CCCUUAGAUGUUCUGGGCCGCACGCGCGCUACACUGAUCAGUGCAACAAGCAUCCGUCCUUGGCCGACAGGCCCGGGCAAUCUUUGAACGCUGAUCGUGAUGGGGAUAGACUUUUGCAAUUUUUGGCCUUCAACGAGGAAUUCCUAGUAAACGCAAGUCAUCAACUUGCAUUGAUUACGUCCCUGCCCUUUGUACACACCGCCCGUCGCACCUACCGAUUGAAUGGUCCGGUGAAGCCUCCGGAUUGGCGUGCACCCUCGGGUGCUGCCGAGAAGUUGGCUAAACCUUACCAUUUAGAGGAAGGUGAAGUCGUAACA
This 317-nucleotide ribosomal RNA is filed under the name uncultured eukaryote. RNAcentral's name for it is "partial 18S ribosomal RNA". It matches the Rfam family "Eukaryotic small subunit ribosomal RNA", at positions 1470 to 1796 of the family's 1831-position model. The record is from RNAcentral.